RNAcentral lists this ribosomal RNA (465 nucleotides) under uncultured bacterium. RNAcentral describes it as "bacterial SSU rRNA". It matches the Rfam family "Bacterial small subunit ribosomal RNA", at positions 338 to 795 of the family's 1533-position model. The record is from RNAcentral.
CCUACGGGUGGCAGCAGUCGGGAAUAUUGGACAAUGGGGGAAACCCUGAUCCAGCCAUGCCGCGUGUGUGAAGAAGGCUCUAGGGUUGUAAAGCACUUUUAGUAGUGAGGAAGGCUCAGUAGUUAAUACCUACUGGGAUUGACGUUAGCUACAGAAAAAGCACCGGCUAAUUUCGUGCCAGCAGCCGCGGUAAUACGAAAGGUGCAAGCGUUAAUCGGAAUUACUGGGCGUAAAGCGCGCGUAGGCGGCUUGAUAAGUUGGAUGUGAAAGCCCCGGGCUCAACCUGGGAACUGCAUCCAAAACUGUCAGGCUAGAGUAUGGUAGAGGAUGGCGGAAUUUCCUGUGUAGCGGUGAAAUGCGUAGAUAUAGGAAGGAACAUCAGUGGCGAAGGCGGCCAUCUGGACCAAUACUGACGCUGAGGUGCGAAAGCGUGGGGAGCAAACAGGAUUAGAUACCCGAGUAGUC